Molecule: unclassified non-coding RNA, 871 nt
Filed under: Mizuhopecten yessoensis (Yesso scallop)
Lineage: Eukaryota; Metazoa; Mollusca; Bivalvia; Pectinida; Pectinidae
Description: uncharacterized LOC110460211, transcript variant X1
Source: RNAcentral
UCUCAAUUAUCCUUACGUUCAGAUACACCUACGCAUCUUUUUAGAGGCUAAUGUAUAACUAAUACACUUGAAAUAUGUUAAAUGGCACAAAUGUUUCAGAAUUUAUAAUGGAAGAUGAACAACUGCGACAGAUUGCACAGCUUUUGGUGAAAGAUGUAAUAGAGAAAGCUGUUGAUAAAAUAAAAACCGAAACAAGGGAAAUGGACAAAGGUCUUGACCAGGGGGUAGAUGAAAUUGUAGGGCUGACCAUUGGACGGUCAAUCAACGCCAUCCGCGAAGGUAAAAGUUCACCAACUGAUCAUAAGAUGGAGGUUAUGCUUGGACUCAACAAAUCCUUGGUUACUCCAACACCGGAAGUAGCAUCUAGCACAACAGGAAGUAAGCUUCUUGAUAUCAAAGAAGAGCGAAUCAAGCCAAGUGUAGGAGGAAACGAUAACAAGUCUCAUAUUUUUACCUCUAAUCCCACCAAAGACCACAAGCCGACAGGACACAAGAUAGGGCACGUGGCUACAACGGAUGCGCAGGUGAGCAAGGGCUCUCACAAGAAGAAUGUACUGGGACGAUUGUUGGACAGAAUUAUCAAGAGAGACAAGAAAGAGGCCAAGGAAGUUAAUGCUGCUACAGCUGGUGAGAAUAUUAUUCACUCGGAAAAAAUCGUUCAGAUCUGGUAAAACACUCAAAAUUAAUCGGAAAAAUACUCAAGCCUUUCCGCUUCAUCAAAGUCAAUGGUCAAACCACUAGAAGUUUUCCGACAGGAACAAAAAGAGGAAUACAGGAAGGUGGCAGCACCAACACCUCAGUCGGUGGAAAGAAGAAGAGUUCUUCCAAGGCCCAUAACAAGAGAGACUGGGUCCGUAGAAAUCUCCUGUGC